UUGUACAGAUUCGAUCGGGAUAGUCAUCACAUUAAAACAAAACCGAGAACGUUCCUCUUGCUAAUGGCGGGCCAUAUAAACUCCCUUCGGGGAACUAAGUCGAAAGACCGGUGGAUUACAAAGGCGGAGGGCACUCAAAACUUAUAGACUCGGACUUAUCAUCACAUCAUCGU
This 173-nucleotide small RNA is filed under the name uncultured Prevotella sp. Its description in RNAcentral is "Bacteroidales-1 6S-Bacteroidales RNA suggested". It matches the Rfam family "Bacteroidales-1 6S-Bacteroidales RNA suggested". The record is from RNAcentral. Lineage: Bacteria; Pseudomonadati; Bacteroidota; Bacteroidia; Bacteroidales; Prevotellaceae.